AAGGACUUUGUCUAGUCUACGUUUCCUUCGGUGGCUGCGCACAUCUUUGAAGAAGAAAAGGUUCUGAGUCAAAGUCUAUAAAGCCUGACACAAACCGGAAGAUAUGGGGAUCUUUUGUAUUCAAGUAGAGUCAAGUGGAAACACAUUGAUGAAAAUUUCUAAUUCAGAUAAGCUCUAAAAUUUCAUCUCUUUUCUAGCAAAAGCUGCCAGCAAAUAGAUCUAUUACAAAGGAUGUACUUUGUUUUUGACUAGUAAGCUACACCAAAAGCAUAAAAAUAUAUAAACUUGACACAA
This is a non-coding RNA of Pelobates cultripes (western spadefoot toad), 294 nucleotides long. The record is from the annotation of a GenBank genome assembly. NCBI's taxonomy places the organism in Eukaryota, Metazoa, Chordata, Amphibia, Anura, Pelobatidae.